MicroRNA precursor from Lottia gigantea (owl limpet), 72 nucleotides. It matches the Rfam family "mir-10 microRNA precursor family". Rfam says of the family: In this case the mature sequence comes from the 5' arm of the precursor. The extents of the hairpin precursors are not generally known and are estimated based on hairpin prediction. The record is from Rfam. Lineage: Eukaryota; Metazoa; Mollusca; Gastropoda; Lottiidae.
UUACGUUUACCCUGUAGAUCCGAAUUUGUGUAUGAAACAAUCUACAAAUUCGUUUUUGCGGGUGAUUGUGUC